This 432-nucleotide unclassified non-coding RNA is filed under the name soil metagenome. Its description in RNAcentral is "partial contains 5.8S ribosomal RNA, internal transcribed spacer 2, and large subunit ribosomal RNA". The stretch from base 1 to 120 matches the Rfam family "5.8S ribosomal RNA", at positions 35 to 154 of the family's 154-position model. The record is from RNAcentral.
GAUGAAGAACGCAGCGAAAUGCGAUACGUAAUGUGAAUUGCAGAAUUCAGUGAAUCAUCGAAUCUUUGAACGCAUAUUGCGCUCUCUGGUAUUCCGGAGAGCAUGCUUGUUUGAGUAUCAGUAAACACCUCAACUCCCUUUUCUUUUUUGAAAUUGGAGCUGGACUUGAGUGAUCCCAACGCUUUCUUCCAAGAAAGUGGCGGGUUGCUUGAAAUGCAGGUGCAGCUGGACUUUUCUCUGAGCUAUAAGCAUAUCUAUUUAGUCUGCCUAAAAAACAGAUUAUUACCUUUGCUGCAGCUAACAUAAAGGAGAUGAGUUCUUGUGCUGACUGAUGCAGGAUUCACAGAGACAGCUUUGCGGCUGACUUUGUAAACUCGAUCUCAAAUCAAGUAAGACUACCCGCUGAACUUAAGCAUAUCAAUAAGCGGAGGA